Molecule: ribosomal RNA, 429 nt
Filed under: Acidobacteriota bacterium
Lineage: Bacteria; Pseudomonadati; Acidobacteriota
Description: Acidobacteria bacterium partial 16S ribosomal RNA
Rfam family: Bacterial small subunit ribosomal RNA
Source: RNAcentral
UGGGGAAUUUUGGACAAUGGGGGAAACCCUGAUCCAGCCAUCCCGCGUGUGCGAUGAAGGCCUUCGGGUUGUAAAGCACUUUUGGCAGGAAAGAAACGUCAUGGGUUAAUACCCCGUGAAACUGACGGUACCUGCAGAAUAAGCACCGGCUAACUACGUGCCAGCAGCCGCGGUAAUACGUAGGGUGCAAGCGUUAAUCGGAAUUACUGGGCUUAAAGCGUGCGCAGGCGGUUCGGAAAGAAAGAUGUGAAAUCCCAGAGCUCAACUUUGGAACUGCAUUUUUAACUACCGGGCUAGAGUGUGUCAGAGGGAGGUGGAAUUCCGCGUGUAGCAGUGAAAUGCGUAGAUAUGCGGAGGAACACCGAUGGCGAAGGCAGCCUCCUGGGAUAACACUGACGCUCAUGCACGAAAGCGUGGGGAGCAAACAGG